AUACGAAGGGGGCUAGCGUUGUUCGGAUUUACAGGGCGUAAAGCGCACGUAGGCGGAUUGAUUAGUUAGGGGUGAAAUCCCGAGGCUCAACCUCGGAACUGCCUUUAAUACUGUCAAUCUCGAGACCGGAAGAGGUGAGUGGAACUCCUAGUGUAGAGGUGGAAUUCGUAGAUAUUAGGAAGAACACCAGUGGCGAAGGCGGCUCACUGGUCCGGUACUGACGCUGAGGUGCGAAAGCGUGGGGAGCGAACAGGAUUAGAAACCCUAGUAGUCC
RNAcentral lists this ribosomal RNA (274 nucleotides) under uncultured bacterium. RNAcentral's name for it is "partial 16S ribosomal RNA". It matches the Rfam family "Bacterial small subunit ribosomal RNA", at positions 523 to 796 of the family's 1533-position model. The record is from RNAcentral.